UGCAAACAAGAACAAAAAGAAAAAAAAAACAAAACCCCAAACUCUUAUCAGAGUAGUCUAUUUAGAUUGGUUUAAAUUAGGAGAGUAAACUGCAAUGCAGAAAUGUAACAAUCUGGCCGGGCGCAUUGGCUCACGCCUGUAAUCCCACCACUUUGGGAGGCCGAGGCAGGCAGAUCACUUGAGGUCAGGAGUUCGAGACCAGCCUGGCCAAAAUGGUGACGCCUCGUCUCUACUAAAAAUACAAAAACUAGCCGGGCAUGGUGGCGGGCGCCUGUAAUCCCAGCUACUCAGGAGGUUGAGGCCCAAGAAUCACCUGAACCUGGAAGGCGGAGGUUGCAGUGAGCCAAGAUCACACCACUGCACUCCAGCCUAGGUGACACAGUGAGACUCCAUCUCGAAAAAAAAAAAAAGAAAUAUCAUAGCAAUCUGACAAUAUGUACCUGGAACUUUACAAAAGGUUCUUAUCCUUUGAUCCAACCAGUAAUUCCACUUCCAAAAGCCUGAGAAAACAUUUUAAUGCAAAGAUUUUUGCAUUAUUUAUGUUCUUACAGUUUAUUCAUAGCAAAAACUAGAACAACCUCCAUGUCCAACAGUGGAAAAAUAAUUACAGAAUGUCAUACAACGGAAUAUUACACAGCCAUUAAAAAUGUUUAAGAAUGACAAGAAAAAAUGUUUUCAAAAUUACAUUUAGUGAAAUAAAUAAGGACAAAAAGUUACAGAAUAUAUUAACUGUAUCUGUGUGUCUAGGACUGAAAUUACACCAAAUGUGCUUAUCCCUGAGAAGCAUGACUAAGGGUAAUUUGUUUUGUAGUUAUUUUUCAAGAUUUUAGAAGGAAUAUAUAUUUUGGCCGGGUGUGGUGGCUCACACCUGUAAUCCCAGCACUUUGGGAGGCCGAGGCGGACAGAUGACCUGAGGUCAGGAGUUCAAGACCAGCCUGGCCAACAUAGGGAAACCCCCAUCUCUUCUAAAAAUACAAAAAAAUUAGCUGGGCGUGGUGACACGCACUUGUAAUCCCAGCUACUCAGGAGGCUGAGGCAGGAGAAUCACUUGAGCCUGAGAGGCAGAGGUUGCAGUGAGCCAAGAUCAGGCCACUGUACUCCAGCCUGGGCGACAGAGCGAGACUGUGUCUCAAAAAAAAAAAAACUUUAAUUCUUCAGAUUUCUCUAAAAUCAAAUAUGUAUUCUAUCUGUUAUUUUAUAAUUGUAGUAACACUGAACAACAUUUUAGCCAGAGUAUAAAACUUUCUUAAAUAUUUCACCAUUCCACCAACUUAUUUGGAAUUUUCUCAAGUACACCUACAUCAGCCCUAUCCUAUACUCAGGUGUUCAAACUCACUGAACUACCAUGGGAAUCUUCUAAACAUGGACACAACAUAUCACAUAAAAGAAGAGGCUAUUUUUUUUUUUGAAACGGAGUUUCACUUUGUCUCCCAGGCUGGAGUGCAGUGGCGCAAUCUUGGCUCACUGCAACCUCCGCCUCUGGGGGUUCAAUCAAUUCUCUUGCCUCAGUCUCAUCAGUAGCUGGGUCUACAGGCACACUCUACCACACCCACUGAUUUUUUUGUAUUUCAGUAGAGACAGGUUUUUACCACAUUGCCCAGGCUGGUCUCAAACUCCUGAGCUCAGGCAAUCUGCCAGCCUCGGCCUCCCAAAGUGCUAGGAUUACAGGCAUGAGCCACAGC
This 1682-nucleotide long non-coding RNA is filed under the name Homo sapiens (human). Its description in RNAcentral is "HSALNT0239950". The record is from RNAcentral. Lineage: Eukaryota; Metazoa; Chordata; Mammalia; Primates; Hominidae.